Long non-coding RNA from Gallus gallus (chicken), 571 nucleotides. NCBI's taxonomy places the organism in Eukaryota, Metazoa, Chordata, Aves, Galliformes, Phasianidae. The record is from Ensembl.
UGCAGCUUUGACGCCCGCUCCCGCUCCCACUUGGAGUGCAGUCGGUUGGCCAGGAGCUGCCGCUCCCGAUCUGCUGCCUCCUGCAGCUCACAUCUCUCGGCGGCCCAGCGGCGCUGCAGCUCCUGGGAGCGGAGCCGCUCGCCCUGCAGCUGGGCCUGCAGUGCCUUCAGCACCUGGCUCUUCUCCUCCCGCUGCACAGGGCAGAUGGGGGGCUGUGCCAGGCCCCGGUGGGGAGAAGGCCGGCUGCCUGGGAGCCCCAGAUCUUCCUUGGCUGUCUCUGGCACCUAGAACCAGAACAUCACAGAAUAACAGAAUGGUUCGGGUGGGAAAGGGCCAUCAAGACUCCUGUUCCAAGCUCAUGCCAUGGGCAGGGACAGCUUCCACUAGGUCAGGUUGCGCAAAGGUGCCUCCAGCCUGGCCUGGAGCACUGCCAGGGAUGGGGCACCCACAGGCUCUGGGGGCAGCCUGUGCCAGUGCCUCAGCAGUGCCGAGUCUUUCUUCCUCAUAUCUCAUCCAAAUCUCCCCUCUUCUACUUUUCAGGCACUGUCCUUUGUUGUAUCACUACCCUCCC